This 492-nucleotide ribosomal RNA is filed under the name uncultured bacterium. RNAcentral describes it as "partial 16S ribosomal RNA". It matches the Rfam family "Bacterial small subunit ribosomal RNA", at positions 29 to 507 of the family's 1533-position model. The record is from RNAcentral.
AGUGAACGCUGGCGGUAGGCCUAACACAUGCCAGUCGAACGGCAGCACAGUAAGAGCUUGCUCUUACGGGUGGCGAGUGGCGGACGGGUGAGGAAUACAUCGGAAUCUACUUUUUCGUGGGGGAUAACGUAGGGAAACUUACGCUAAUACCGCAUACGACCUACGGGUGAAAGCAGGGGAUCUUCGGACCUUGCGCGAUUGAAUGAGCCGAUGUCGGAUUAGCUAGUUGGCGGGGUAAAGGCCCACCAAGGCGACGAUCCGUAGCUGGUCUGAGAGGAUGAUCAGCCACACUGGAACUGAGACACGGCCCAGACUCCUACGGGAGGCAGCAGUGGGGAAUAUUGGACAAUGGGCGCAAGCCUGAUCCAGCCAUACCGCGUGGGUGAAGAAGGCCUUCGGGUUGUAAAGCCCUUUUGUUGGGAAAGAAAAGCAGCAGGUUAAUACCCCGCUGUUCUGACGGUACCCAAAGAAUAAGCACCGGCUAACUUCGUG